RNAcentral lists this ribosomal RNA (490 nucleotides) under uncultured bacterium. Its description in RNAcentral is "bacterial SSU rRNA". It matches the Rfam family "Bacterial small subunit ribosomal RNA", at positions 28 to 526 of the family's 1533-position model. The record is from RNAcentral.
GAUGAACGCUAGCGACAGGCUUAACACAUGCAAGUCGAGGGGCAGCAUAAAAGUUACUUCGGUAAUUUUGGUGGCGACCGGCGCACGGGUGAGUAACGCGUGGGCAACCUGCCCUAUACCGGGGGACAACAGCUGGAAACGGCUGCUAAUACCGCAUAAGCGCACAGAGUCGCAUGGCUCAGUGUGAAAAACUCCGGUGGUAUAGGAUGGACCCGCGUCCGAUUAGCUAGUUGGUAGUGUAAUGGACUACCAAGGCGACGAUCGGUAGCCGGCCUAGGAGGGCGGACGGCCACAUUGGGACUGAGACACGGCCCAGACUCCUGCGGGAGGCAGCAGUGGGGGAUAUUGCACAAGGGGGGAAACCCUGAUGCAGCGACGCCGCGUGAGUGAAGAAGUAUUUCGGUAUGUAAAGCUCUAUCAGCAGGGAAGAAAAUGACGGUACCUGACUAAGAAGCCCCGGCUAACUACGUGCCAGCAGCCGCCGUAAAAC